GAUCAUGGCUCAGGAUGAACGCUAGCUACAGGCUUAACACAUGCAAGUCGAGGGCAGCAUGAACUUAGCUUGCUUCAAUUGCCGGCGACCGGCGCGACGGGUGAGUAACGCGUAUCCAACCUUCCGUACACUCAGGGAUAGCCUUUCGAAAGAAAGAUUAAUACCUGAUGGUAUCUUAAGCACACAUGUAAUUAAGAUUAAAGAUUUAUCGGUGUACGAUGGGGAUGCGUUCCAUUAGGUAGUAGGCGGGGUAACGGCCCACCUAGCCAACGAUGGAUAGGGGUUCUGAGAGGAAGGUCCCCCACAUUGGAACUGAGACACGGUCCAAACUCCUACGGGAGGCAGCAGUGAGGAAUAUUGGUCAAUGGACGAGAGUCUGAACCAGCCAAGUAGCGUGAAGGAUGAAGGUCCUACGGAUUGUAAACUUCUUUUAUAAGGGAAUAAACCCUCCCACGUGUGGGAGCUUGUAUGUACCUUAUGAAUAAGCAUCGGCUAACUCCGUG
This 503-nucleotide ribosomal RNA is filed under the name uncultured bacterium. RNAcentral describes it as "bacterial SSU rRNA". It matches the Rfam family "Bacterial small subunit ribosomal RNA", at positions 15 to 507 of the family's 1533-position model. The record is from RNAcentral.